This 1049-nucleotide long non-coding RNA is filed under the name Prunus persica (peach). Its description in RNAcentral is "long non-coding RNA (PPER_LNC004402)". Lineage: Eukaryota; Viridiplantae; Streptophyta; Magnoliopsida; Rosales; Rosaceae. The record is from RNAcentral.
CGAAUUCUUUGUUAUUGGCUUUAAUUGCUCCUAAGUCCCAACACUCUGAUUUGCUCCAAUAUAUAAACACAAACCUGCAGACAAUCUAAAUCUAUCAAAAACCAGGCACGUUCAAGAAGAAAUAAACAUGCUACUGCAGUCUGCUCACCCACUGUCUCAUGGCUUCCUUUUCAUCCUCUUGUUCUCUUCCAUUAUUUCUACAAAUAUUCAUGCAUGCAACCAAACUGAAUGCAGAACCCCCACGCCCUUCUCCCCCAAUACGUCUUCUCAUCCUAUAAAUUGGACUUCCCUUAGUUCUUUCCAUUUAGUGGGCAUCCCUUAUCGUCACCAAGGUCGGGCCCUCAAUGGAGGAGACGCACAAGGGGAUGGCACUAAAGGCGGUAAUUUUCCCCCACUUAAGAUACAUAUUUCACCCACAAUUUAUACUUUAGAUCAAUGGAAUUUGAUUGCUUGGGUCCAAAAGUUUUGGAAGUGAACAUUACAUGGUGUUAUAACUAAACACAAUUGCUCAUAUCUUAAUUUUUUAUAGGGUUAAAUACUUUUUGGUUAUUGGAUUUUAUACGAAAAUUCAAUUUGGUCACUAAGAAAAAUAUUUAGCCAAAUUUGUCAUUGUGUUUCCCAAAGUUUACAAACCCUAAACCCUUACAAUUGUAAACUUUAUGAAACACAGUGACCAAUUUAGCUUACCAAAUUGAAUUUUCUUGUAAAAUCCAGUUACCAAAAAAAAAAAUUUUCUUUUCUUUUUUUAUAAUCAAUCGCGUGGUUUUAUACUAAUCCAUUGUCUGGUUUUGUUACUUUGAGCAGGGAUCAUUGCAAAGCCUUAGAUUUCAUGGAUGCAAGCUUUUUCAUUGUGGAUCUCCGUUUUGGUGGCGCUCCACAAUAUAUCACGUUACUCGGUUUCAAGAGUUUAUUCGAAUUGUAUCUUCAUAUAUUUUAGAAUGCUCCAUCAAUCUUUUCACAAGUUCAUCUUUCUCAUUCUACGUAGCCUUUACUGCAACACCUUGCCUUCUCAGCGACACCUUCACUCUACCUAUCUGCAGGAAAACGCG